UUCGGCAUGGGGGGAACCCUGGACCGAGCAACGCCGCGUGAGUGAAGAAGGUGUCGGAUCGUAAAGCUCUGUUGUAAGAGAAGAACGAGUGUGAGAGUGGAAAGUUCACACUGUGACGGUAACUUACCAGAAAGGGACGGCUAACUACGUGCCAGCAGCCGCGGUAAUACGUAGGUCCCGAGCGUUGUCCGGAUUUAUUGGGCGUAAAGCGAGCGCAGGCGGUUAGAUAAGUCUGAAGUUAAAGGCUGUGGCUUAACCAUAGUACGCUUUGGAAACUGUUUAACUUGAGUGCAGAAGGGGAGAGUGGAAUUCCAUGUGUAGCGGUGAAAUGCGUAGAUAUAUGGAGGAACACCGGUGGCGAUAGCGGCUCUCUGGUCUGUAACUGACGCUGAGGCUCGAAAGCGUGGGGAGCAAACAGGAUUAGAUACCCUGGUAGUCCACGCCGUAAACGAUGAGUGCUAGGUGUGGGUCCUUUCCGGGACUCAGUGCCGCAGCUAACGCAUUAAGCACUCGCCUGGGAGU
Molecule: ribosomal RNA, 522 nt
Filed under: Streptococcus sinensis
Lineage: Bacteria; Bacillati; Bacillota; Bacilli; Lactobacillales; Streptococcaceae
Description: bacterial SSU rRNA
Rfam family: Bacterial small subunit ribosomal RNA
Source: RNAcentral